UUUUUUUUCGUCCCACUCUGUAUAGAAAACUGCCCACGUUUUUCUAACUGCAAAACUUGUGUAGAAACUUCUCCCUCCACUUCUCCACUUACCCUUAUUAGCUUCUUUGUUGUAUAAACACAUUCAUCACUCCACUGACACAGAAACCUCUUUUUUUCUGCAACAAUGGAGCAAAUCGAAAAAUCAGAAGCAAUCUCAUGUUGGAGAUGACUGCAAUAUUGAAGAUCAAGGAGACAAGUAAUCCUCCUAUUUGCUUGAUCGGAGGGAGGGAAAAAAACAUGAAUGUCUAACUUGGGGAAUUGACAGCAAACGGGUUUUGAGGUGUUGAAUAGCUCUUCAGUCUUGCGAAAUCGUUGGUGGCAUAAAAAAAUCUCUGCUAGACCGCAAGGCUGGGACGCGCCGCCGCUGACAAGAAGAGGAGUUCAUUGUGACGGUGACGAAGAACAAGAAUCGAAGAAGCUAAAAAAUGAUGAUGGUGUUUGUAAUAAUGAUGAUAUAUAAGAGCUCCAAGUAAUCUGGCUGGCUUAGAUCUGUUUAGCUAUGGAACCAAUCCCUAAUCUGCGGAAAGAGGUAAUUUAAUUUCACAGAUUAUCAUUUCAUUUUUAUUUUUGCAAAUUUAUUUCAUUUUGAUAUGUGGGAUUUGUUAACUCGGACAAAAAAAAACUACAAUCUUUGUCGG
Molecule: non-coding RNA, 679 nt
Organism: Erythranthe guttata (spotted monkey flower)
Lineage: Eukaryota; Viridiplantae; Streptophyta; Magnoliopsida; Lamiales; Phrymaceae
Source: RefSeq, a predicted model, not a curated record